AAUGUUUAUGAAAAAAUUAUAAAGAAGAAAUAAAUAAAACAUAAUCAAAAACUGUGUUCUGAGUGUAAAAAUUCAGCGUUGCUAGGUGGGGGUUCGAAUCAUUAAUGUCAGACUUUUGUACUCUUGCUCUAACUGACUUAGCUACCUGGUCAACAGAAUUGUCCGGGUCCAAAUGUCCAACAUGAAAUUAAGAGGAGGUUACUGUAUAUAAAAAAUAAUAUAUACAGUGCAGUGGGUCAGGGAUCCUUAAGUGAAUUACACUUAAUUGAACUAGUUCCUGAUUAAAAACCAAUAUAAAAUAUAGGUGUUAGUUGUACAAUAGUUUGAUUCCACAUAAUGUCAAUAAAUAGCUGUAUAUUAAUUUUGUGAAGCAUAUUACUUAGUGUUUUACAAUGUUGAUAUAUAUAUAUAUUGAAAACUAAUUGCAAAGGUGAAAUAUAGAUACUGGUUAAUUCUCAAUCCCAUAAAAAUACAACAUUUCUAUAUUUUGCAUACACAAAUUUUGGUUUAAUUGUCAUAGCAUUUGUAUUUUCAAACAAACAAACAUUAGAAGAAAUGAAAAUUCAUGAAAACUAUGAAUUUCCAUCUAAUUUAGUAACUGCCUACUACUUGCAUGGCAUCUAAAAGCUGAUUUCCCUACAUUGGCUGUACAUUGUACCUCGGUAUAAACCCUACAGCUAACGUUGUUUUCGUCUUGGUUUAGUGAGCAUUAUGGUCUGUGUAUAGGAGCUACAGUUAUGUAAAAGUCUGUUUCAAUGUAAUAGUGGUAGAUGAUUAGAAAAUGCUAUGUAUGAUUUAUGCAUUUUUUUUAGCUAUUUGAUGAGAUGAGGUUCUUGUGCUAAGUACUGUGGUGUAAGGCAGAAUUUUAUACCAUGUACUUCCUGCAAUUAAUAUGGCUGGAUAUUGUACUGAUGAAAGCCUGACUGCUGGCCAAGUUCCAAAAUAGGACUUCGUGUUAACACUGGCCAAGGUCAAUAGCAGCUGGCCAAGGUCAAAGACAGGGCUUUGUGAUAGCACUGGCCAAGGUCAAAGACAGGACUUUGUGUAAGUACUGGCCAAGGUCAACAGCAGAAGGUCAAAGGCAGGACUUUGUGUUAGCACUUGCCAAGGUCAACAGCUGCUGGCCAAGGUCAAAGGCAGGACUUGGUGUUAGCACUGGCCAAGGUCAAAGACAGGACUUUGUGUUAGCACUAGCAAGGUCAACAGCAGCUGGCCAAGGUUAAAGGCAGGACUUUGUGUUAGCACUGGCCAAGAUCAAAGGCAGGACAUUGUGCUAAGUACUGGCAAAGGUCAGAGGCAGAACUUUGUGCUAUUUACUGGACAAGGCUCACUGUAAUAAUUUGUGCUAAGCACUGGCCUGGGUCAAAGACAAGAGGUUCUGUUAAGCGCUGGCCAAGUUUCAAUUCAGGACAUUGUACUACCUAAGUACUGGCCACAGUCAAAGUCAGUUCUUUGUGCGAAGAACUGGCUAAGGUUCAAGGCAUGACUUUGUGCUAAAUACGCCGCAAGGUCCGAAAUAGGACACUGUUCUAAGCACUGACUGACACUUUGCUCAGUACUGGCUAAUGUUUUAGACAGGACUUUCUGCUAAAUAUGGGCAAAGGUCCAAAACAGGCAUUUGAAGUAAGCUAUGCUUAGCACCACAGAGUUUGAGUAUUUAGGGAAGGUCUAAAUGGUACAAGACUUAUGGUUGAAACAAGAAUCUUUUUCUUAUCAGAUUGUAUUUUUAUAAUGUUAUUGUUAAUAAUCUGUAUCUACAAUGUUUGUAAGUAUGUAGUUAUAAUCCAUUUUAGAGCUUAUCUACACCAUCUUUUUAUGUAUAGUAUUUUUGAUCUGGUAAAUUCCUAAUAUAAUGUUUCCCAGUUUGUCUGAUUGAAGGCCUGGCUCUUAAAUUACAUUUGUUUACAAAACUGAAACAGUCAUUUAACCCAUUCACCCCUAAAGUCACAUUUGAACCUUACCGAAUCAAAAUUUUGGCCAGUCCAGUUUAAAUAUGUAGGGGUGAAUGAGCUUAAUUCUCAUGUACUUUUGUAUAUUAACACCGACCAUUGUAUCUCCUCCUCCACCGAAACACCUUUCCAUAAACAAAGUCUGGAUAUAGUAUUCAUUGUUAUUUAUUACAUGUAUACCUGCUUACAGAUCUUACUUGAUUUUACACCUUACAUUUUCGUCUUAAUGUCCUAAAUGCUAUUUGCCUUUCUUAUGCUCUAUUAGAAAUGUUGAAAGAUUCUGUUUCUUAUUUCAUGAGAGGUUUUUGUAUGAAUUGCCAUUAAAUAUUUUAAGCAGUUAGAAAGACUAGAUGGGAGGACUUUCAUUUUUUAAACCAACCCGAAAAAACCCAUUUUUGUUGGAAUACACACUGCAUGACACAAUAUGAACAAUUGUUAUUGCUAUACUGUUUUUAAAAAGAAACAUCACAUUUUAAAAUGUUUAGUAUUUAUUGGCCUGAAAUGCAAAAAAUAUAGUUGGGAUUAAACUUCAUUUAUAAUAAUUGUUUGGAAAAAUAGGUUUGUUUUAGUUUGAUUUAAUUUGAAAGACACUGCUUUUUUUCUUUUUCCACUCAACAUACUUGUUAAAAUGCGUAGUAAUCCUACCAAGGUCUAUGAUGAUGUACCACCCAAACUGCUACAAGGGUACAAACAAGUUAAACAAUAUUAUUACCGUUGUUUGUUUAAGACCUUUUCAAAAGAAGUAUUCCAUAAAAUUCAUAUGUUGCUAUGAGUUUACAGAAUUAUAUUUGUUAGAAAUGUGAAUAUUUGAAAAGAAGAAAUUGAGAAAAAAAAAGAAAAAAAAGCAACAUGAGGACCUGUACAAAACAGAUCUUGUGUAAUAUCAAUCGUGCCAUCUUGUCAUAUAAAUUAAAAAUUAGUGUUCAUUUUAUGGGUCACGAUUCUGCAAAGCUUAUGAAAAGCCUGACAGGGGAAGUUACUCUAAGCCAGAAAAAUCCUUUUGGCUGUUUCGUCUUUUAAACUAAGGGAGGAUAUUCCAGGUCAAAAAAUCGUUUGAGUGGAACUGAUGCAGUGGUACUAUUUACCUUAAGUCUACUACUGGAGAGUAACACGAACCAUUAUUCUCUAUCUACUAAAAUCAAAUUUGAUAUACAGUGUUAACCCUUUCUCCCCUAUGUAACUUUAGUAAACUCUACUAUUUAUUGAUCUGGAUGAGUCCAUUAUGGUCUACAGUGGUGAAAGGGCUAAGAGAUGGCGUACUUGCCUUCUGUAGUGCUGUUGAUACCGGUGGUCGGCCUAGUUUGUAACUCUGUAUACUCGCCCCAGCUGUAUCAGUGUGACGGCCAGUAUUGUUCUUCGGAAUAGCUGACCAGUAUGUUAUCUGGGCUUACAAAUGUACAGAUGUAAAAUGUCAUAAUUUGUAUGGAAUUGGAAGGGUAAUAAAACUGAGAAGAAAUUU
Mizuhopecten yessoensis (Yesso scallop) is the source of this 3408-nucleotide long non-coding RNA. RefSeq lists it as uncharacterized. The record is from RefSeq and is a predicted model, not a curated record. The transcript is spliced from 2 exons. NCBI's taxonomy places the organism in Eukaryota, Metazoa, Mollusca, Bivalvia, Pectinida, Pectinidae.